This 406-nucleotide ribosomal RNA is filed under the name uncultured bacterium. RNAcentral's name for it is "partial 16S ribosomal RNA". It matches the Rfam family "Bacterial small subunit ribosomal RNA", at positions 30 to 526 of the family's 1533-position model. The record is from RNAcentral.
AUUGAACGCUGGCGGCAGGCCUAACACAUGCAAGUCGAACGAGUGGCGGACGGGUGAGUAAUGUCUGGGAAACUGCCUGAUGGAGGGGGAUAACUACUGGAAACGGUAGCUAAUACCGCAUACCAUCGGAUGUGCCCAGAUGGGAUUAGCUAGUAGGUGGGUUAACGGCUCACCUAGGCGACGAUCCCUAGCUGGUCUGAGAGGAUGACAAGCAACCAUGUAACGGAGACACGGUCCAGACUCCUAAGGGAGGCAGCAGGGGGGAAUAGUGGACAAUGGGCGCAAGCCUGAUGCAGCCAUGCCGCGUGUGUGAAGAAGGCCUUCGGGUUGUAAAGCACUUUCAGCGGGGAGGCGUUACCCGCAGAAGAAGCACCGGCUAACUCCGUGCCAGCAGCCGCGGUAAUUC